RNAcentral lists this ribosomal RNA (253 nucleotides) under uncultured bacterium. Its description in RNAcentral is "partial 16S ribosomal RNA". It matches the Rfam family "Bacterial small subunit ribosomal RNA", at positions 524 to 776 of the family's 1533-position model. The record is from RNAcentral.
UACAGAGGUCUCAAGCGUUGUUCGGAAUCACUGGGCUUAAAGGGCGCGUAGGCGGCUCGCGAGGUCGGGGGUGAAAUCCCACAGCUUAACUGUGGAAGCGCCUCCGAUACCGGCGGGCUCGAGGAAGGUAGGGGUGCGCGGAACUUCUGGUGGAGCGGUGAAAUGCGUUGAUAUCAGAAGGAACGCCGGCGGCGAAAGCGGCGCACUGGAUCUUUUCUGACGCUGAGGCGCGAAAGCCAGGGGAGCAAACGGG